ACAAUGCGGUAAAGAGCAGUGGCUAACGCAGCAUAUACUAUGGCCAAUUGAUCUAGCAUAGAUUCUCUUCCCAUUACGGUUUGUAGUAGCAAAUUGGUGAUGGUAGACGUGACUGAGUGUCUUGAAUUUUCCAUGUAAAGGACUUCAAUCUCCUUAAUAAUUGAAGAAAUAUUUGCGAUAGACAAUUUGUUUAGCGAUCCUUGUAAUUUCCGACGAAGUCGCAGAGCAUCUUCUGACUCCUUAUCUCCCCCUAAUUUUUUCCGUAAAGAUGGAGGGACAUACUUUGAGCCGACGUUCGCAUUAGGUAAGGAUGGGACUGCAGGCUUCAAAGGAUCCAUCCGAAUCGGCUUAGUUUCAGGUUGAUGGAAUUCAUCAGAAUUAGACUCAAACCCAUGAAACUCUUCCUCCUCCUCACCCGAAUUUCCUUCCCUUUCACUUUCCAACUCAUCAACGCUACCAUGGUCACCUGUAUCGUCUGAAACUUCAGAGUCUUCUGAAUGACCAUAUGAAGGAUCUUCAGUGCCCGGAACGCCUAUGUCAUCAAUUUCUU
This is a non-coding RNA of Schizosaccharomyces pombe (fission yeast), 550 nucleotides long. The record is from the annotation of a GenBank genome assembly. Lineage: Eukaryota; Fungi; Ascomycota; Schizosaccharomycetes; Schizosaccharomycetales; Schizosaccharomycetaceae.